GAUGAACGCUGGCGGCGUGCCUAAUACAUGCAAGUCGAGCGAACGGACGAGAAGCUUGCUUCUCUGAUGUUAGCGGCGGACGGGUGAGUAACACGUAGAUAACCUACCUAUAAGACUGGGAUAACUUCGGGGGACCGGAGCUAAUACCGGAUAAUAUUUUGAACCGCAUGGUUCAAAAGUGAACGCCGGUCUUGCUGUCACUUAUAGAUGGAUCCGGGCUGCAUUAGCUAGUUGGUAAGGUAACGGCUUACCAAGGCAACGAUGCGUAGCCGACCUGAGAGGGUGAUCGGCCACACUGGAACUGAGACACGGUCCAGACUCCUACGGGAGGCAGCAGUAGGGAAUCUUCCGCAAUGGGCGAAAGCCUGACGGAGCAACGCCGCGUGAGUGAUGAAGGUCUUCGGAUCGUAAAACUCUGUUAUUAGGGAAGAACAUAUGUGUAAGUAACUGUGCACAUCUUGACGGUACCUAAUCAGAAAGCCACGGCUAACUACGUG
RNAcentral lists this ribosomal RNA (497 nucleotides) under uncultured bacterium. Its description in RNAcentral is "partial 16S ribosomal RNA". It matches the Rfam family "Bacterial small subunit ribosomal RNA", at positions 28 to 507 of the family's 1533-position model. The record is from RNAcentral.